AGAACGAACGCUGGCGGCAGGCUUAACACAUGCAAGUCGAACGGUUGUAGCAAUACAGCAGUGGCGCACGGGUGAGUAACGCGUGGGAACAUACCUUUCAGUUCGGAAUAACAGCGGGAAACUGCUGCUAAUACCGGAUAUUCUCCUCGGAGGAAAGAUUUAUCGCUGAAAGAUUGGCCCGCGUCAGAUUAGCUAGUUGGUGAGGUAAUGGCUCACCAAGGCUCCGAUCUGUAGCUGGUCUGAGAGGACGACCAGCCACACUGGAACUGAGACACGGUCCAGACUCCUACGGGAGGCAGCAGUGGGGAAUAUUGGACAAUGGGCGAAAGCCUGAUCCAGCCAUGCCGCGUGAAUGAUGAAGGCCUUAGGGUUGUAAAGUUCUUUUGCCAGGGAAGAUAAUGACGGUACCUGGAGAAUAAGCACCGGCUAACUUCGUGCCAGCAGCCGC
This 448-nucleotide ribosomal RNA is filed under the name uncultured bacterium. RNAcentral's name for it is "SSU rRNA". It matches the Rfam family "Bacterial small subunit ribosomal RNA", at positions 26 to 518 of the family's 1533-position model. The record is from RNAcentral.